GGCGCCAUCGUCUAGUCUGGUCUAGGACGCUGGGUUUUCAUCCCAGUAACUCGGGUUCAAAUCCCGAUGGCGCUA
RNAcentral lists this transfer RNA (75 nucleotides) under bacterium. RNAcentral's name for it is "tRNA-Glu". It matches the Rfam family "tRNA". From Rfam's summary of the family: Transfer RNA (tRNA) molecules are approximately 80 nucleotides in length. The record is from RNAcentral.